RNAcentral lists this ribosomal RNA (221 nucleotides) under uncultured bacterium. Its description in RNAcentral is "partial 16S ribosomal RNA". It matches the Rfam family "Bacterial small subunit ribosomal RNA", at positions 129 to 334 of the family's 1533-position model. The record is from RNAcentral.
CCCUCUGGCGGAGGAUAACCUCUCGAAAGGGAGACUAAUACUGCAUAAGACCACACUGACCUCGGGUAGAGUGGGAAAAGCUGGCCACUGCAUGCAAGCUAGCACCAGAGGAUGAGCCCGCGGCCCAUCAGUUAGUUGGUAGGGUAACGGCCUACCAAGGCAAAGACGGGUAGCUGGUCUGAGAGGAUGAUCAGCCACACUGGCACUGAAACACGGGCCAG